UAUAUAUAGGGGGGUGGUGAGGGCUGGUAGCCUGGUUGCUUUGGACAUGAGUCGGCCUUUGAUCUUGAUUGACGGUAUCGUGUGCAUGAAAUCGAAGUCCCUUGUGAGAUGCCCAACGAGUCGUGUCGUCGGCUUCGUUUUUCGAUGCCUCGUACGGCGAAAACGUCGUUGACGCGUUCUCGUUGAUCCUAGUCCGAAGCGUGGCUUGUUGCUCGCAGUUUUGUGAGAUUUGCUGUGCCUAGGACGUGGUGAUGCGGUGUGCGGAAAUGGCGGGGACCCUUUUCGGUGAAACUUGUGGCGUUGUGGGCCUCGCAACGCCAUUGUUGCGUGCUUGGUAGAUGAACCUAGAACGAAGCAUUACUCGUCACAAAGCCUGGCUAGUGACUUGUUUUGAGUAGUUCACGGUGACUCGGCUUAGCAUGACGAGGCACGUAGGAAUUGUUGUCCACGUGUAGAGGCAUCGUAUGCCUCCACGGGUAACUAAGACAACGUCAAGAUGGAGUUUUGCCUGUUGAUCCGAGUUCGAUGCAUGGCUUGUUUCCCAUAACGGUGUUGGGCUUGUCUUGCUGGACGUGUUGAUCCGGGCAUGCCGAAACUGACGGGGACCCUUUUCGAUGAAACUUGUGGCGUUGUAGGCCUCGCAACGCCAUUGAUGCGUGCUUGCUAGAUGAAUCUAGAACGAAGCAUUACUCGUCACACAAGCCCGGCUAGUGACUUGUUUUGAGUAGUUCAAGGUGACGCUGGUUAGCAUGACGAGGCAUGUCGGUAUCGUUGGUUGGUGUUCUCUCGCAUCGUUCGGUGCAUCCUGGGAGCUGUUCGGACUUUUGGUUGCUUUCAUGGCUCGAAUGCCUUGUGGGUGGCCAAUUGUUAGGCGGUUUUCGGGGAUGAUUACCGUAAAGGUGCAUGAGUGGUGUUUGGUUUGUUUCCGGUGGAUGGCUCUCUGCUUUUGCAACAACUUCCACCUGGCAUUCCUUUUCAUUUCUGCGUCAAGGUUGCAUUUCCUUGAGCGUUUAUGGUUUCCUGUGUUGCCUACCUACGUGACGGUAUUGUUUGAUUACAUCAAAGUCGUGUUUCAUCGUGUGUCAUCUGUAUGGCGUAGGAUGAACCUCGAAGCUGCUUCUAUGAUCCACCUUGGCGUUGCAUAUGCAUUGACGUUGUGGCUUGUUGAGUUUUGCUUGGUUUUCUGGAUGCAGAACAUGAUAUGGGUGUGGGUCUUACGCGAUCCUUGUUUUGCCCUUGUUGAACGUUGUUAUUACUCCGAGAUGACUGCUUACCCCGAAUUGGCUCGUACCACCGGGGUAGGUUGCGUUGUUGAAGAGCAAUACUGGCGUUCUUGCUUCUCUAAAACAGACAGCCUCGCCUUGAUGGGCUCGUACCAGCGGGUGGGCUAUGUCGAAGAGGGAUGC
RNAcentral lists this unclassified non-coding RNA (1406 nucleotides) under Dittrichia viscosa. Its description in RNAcentral is "external transcribed spacer". Lineage: Eukaryota; Viridiplantae; Streptophyta; Magnoliopsida; Asterales; Asteraceae. The record is from RNAcentral.